This 71-nucleotide transfer RNA is filed under the name Loxodonta africana (African savanna elephant). It matches the Rfam family "tRNA". Rfam says of the family: Transfer RNA (tRNA) molecules are approximately 80 nucleotides in length. Lineage: Eukaryota; Metazoa; Chordata; Mammalia; Proboscidea; Elephantidae. The record is from Rfam by way of RNAcentral.
UCAUCGGUGGUUCAGUGGUAGAAUUCUUGCCUUCCAUGCGGAAGACCUGGGUUCGAUUCCUGGCCAAGGCA